AUUGAACGCUGGCGGCAGGCCUAACACAUGCAAGUCGAGCGGAUGAAGGGAGCUUGCUCCUGGAUUCAGCGGCGGACGGGUGAGUAAUGCCUAGGAAUCUGCCUGGUAGUGGGGGAUAACGUCCGGAAACGGGCGCUAAUACCGCAUACGUCCUGAGGGAGAAAGUGGGGGAUCUUCGGACCUCACGCUAUCAGAUGAGCCUAGGUCGGAUUAGCUAGUUGGUGGGGUAAAGGCCUACCAAGGCGACGAUCCGUAACUGGACUGAGAGGAUGAUCAGUCACACGGGAACUGAGACACGGUCCAGACGCCUACGGGAGGCAGCAGUGGGGAAUAUUGGACAAUGGGCGAAAGCCUGAUCCAGCCAUGCCGCGUGUGUGAAGAAGGUCUUCGGAUUGUAAAGCACUUUAAGUUGGGAGGAAGGGCAGUAAGUUAAUACCUUGCUGUUUUGACGUUACCAACAGAAUAAGCACCGGCUAACUUCGUG
RNAcentral lists this ribosomal RNA (484 nucleotides) under uncultured bacterium. Its description in RNAcentral is "partial 16S ribosomal RNA". It matches the Rfam family "Bacterial small subunit ribosomal RNA", at positions 30 to 507 of the family's 1533-position model. The record is from RNAcentral.